AUUUUGACUGUUAUGGAUUUGGAAUGAGUAACGAGAAGAUGGUAGGGUAGGGUGUAGAGUGCAGAGUGCAGAGUGCAGAGUGCAGAGGAUAGGGAAUCAGAACAAUCGCGGUUUGUUUCCUCGUUCUGAGCUCUAAUGGAAGCGCUAUCCCUUCCCAUAAACACUCUCACGAAAUCCUCUGCUAAACACAUUCCUCUCGCCGCUAAUUCUAAUUAUGCCUCACUAUCUUCCUUACAAUUCAAUCCUUCUUUCACAACCACACCCCACACCUUGAGGAAGAGCCUUCUUCGAGUCCAGGCCCAGAGUGAGGAUUAUGAAUUGAAGCAAAUGAGGGACAUGGCUGCUGCCAGAAAGAGAUGGGAAGCUCUGAUCAGAGAUGGAAAAGUUAAAGUUCUUACCCCAAGGGAAGCUGGCUAUGCAGUUCAGCUUUCAAGCAAGCCCCUUCUUGAUGUUCGGCCCUCGAAUGAACACAAAAAGGCAUGGGUGAGAGCUUCAACCUGGAUUCCAAUAUUUGAUGUUGAUAAUAAACUAGAUUUUGGAACCAUUCCCACAAAAGUCACAAAUUUUGUCAUGGGAGGUUGGUGGAGUGGCAUGCCUACACUGUCUUAUGACAGCCAGUUCUUAGCCAAAGUUGAGGAGAAGUUCCCCAAAGAUUCUGAAUUAAUUGUUGCAUGCCAGAAGGGGUUGAGAUCACUUGCUGCUUGUGAACUACUGUAUAAUGCUGGCUAUAAAAAUCUGUUUUGGGUUCAAGGAGGAUUUGAAGCUGCUGAAGAAGAGGCAGGAUCUCAUUGUGGAGGGCCCAGUGCCUCUCAAGUUUGCUGGAAUUGGUGGCGUUUCAGAAUUCCUUGGUUUUACUGAGCAACAAAGAGCAGCUGCAGCCAAGGAAGGUUGGGGAUAUAGAUUAGUGUUUUCUGCACGCCUGAUUGGAGUCUUUCUUGUUGCUGAUGCACUAUAUAUUGGUGCUCAGCAAAUUGGGCGCUAUCUUCAGGAUAUCAAGACCCAUUGAGGUAAGUAUUUGAUUGAUCCUCACGGAGACAAUAAUGCUUGUGGAUGAGCAUAUACAGACAGCAGGCUAAGGAACUCAAUUUUGGAUGCUGACCCUUAGCAUAGUCUCACUGCCCAUCCUUUAGUUAAUAUGAUUUGCCAGCAGACGCUUUCCGAGAUUGUCAUAAUUACCCCCCCCCC
Molecule: non-coding RNA, 1185 nt
Organism: Cajanus cajan (pigeon pea)
Lineage: Eukaryota; Viridiplantae; Streptophyta; Magnoliopsida; Fabales; Fabaceae
Source: RefSeq, a predicted model, not a curated record